RNAcentral lists this ribosomal RNA (458 nucleotides) under uncultured Syntrophus sp. RNAcentral's name for it is "bacterial SSU rRNA". It matches the Rfam family "Bacterial small subunit ribosomal RNA", at positions 924 to 1382 of the family's 1533-position model. The record is from RNAcentral. Lineage: Bacteria; Pseudomonadati; Thermodesulfobacteriota; Syntrophia; Syntrophales; Syntrophaceae.
CACAAGCGGUGGAGCAUGUGGUUUAAUUCGAUGCAACGCGAAGAACCUUACCUGGGCUUGACAUCCCGAGAAUCCCCUGGAAACAGGGGAGUGCCUUUCGGGGAACUCGGAGACAGGUGCUGCAUGGCUGUCGUCAGCUCGUGUCGUGAGAUGUUGGGUUAAGUCCCGCAACGAGCGCAACCCUUGUCUUUAAUUGCCAGCAUUCAGUUGGGCACUUUAAAGAGACUGCCGGUGUUAAGCCGGAGGAAGGUGGGAUGACGUCAAGUCCUCAUGGCCUUUAUGCCCAGGGCUACACACGUGCUACAAUGGGUGGUACAAAGAGAUGCCAACUCGCGAGAGCGCGCCAAUCUCAGAAAGCCAUCCUCAGUUCGGAUUGGAGUCUGCAACUCGACUCCAUGAAGUUGGAAUCGCUAGUAAUCGCGGAUCAGCACGCCGCGGUGAAUACGUUCCCGGGCCUU